ACGAACGCUGGCGGCAGGCUUAACACAUGCAAGUCGAACGCCCCGCAAGGGGAGUGGCAGACGGGUGAGUAACGCGUGGGAAUCUACCCUUUACUACGGAAUAACGCAUGGAAACGUGUGCUAAUACCGUAUGUGUCCUUCGGGAGAAAGAUUUAUCGGUAAAGGAUGAGCCCGCGUUGGAUUAGCUAGUUGGUGGGGUAAAGGCCUACCAAGGCGACGAUCCAUAGCUG
This 230-nucleotide ribosomal RNA is filed under the name Phyllobacterium sp. ISO676_OTU202. RNAcentral describes it as "partial 16S ribosomal RNA". It matches the Rfam family "Bacterial small subunit ribosomal RNA", at positions 29 to 289 of the family's 1533-position model. Lineage: Bacteria; Pseudomonadati; Pseudomonadota; Alphaproteobacteria; Hyphomicrobiales; Phyllobacteriaceae. The record is from RNAcentral.